This 938-nucleotide ribosomal RNA is filed under the name uncultured bacterium. RNAcentral's name for it is "bacterial SSU rRNA". It matches the Rfam family "Bacterial small subunit ribosomal RNA", at positions 8 to 916 of the family's 1533-position model. The record is from RNAcentral.
AGAGUUUGAUCAUGGCUCAGAACGAACGUUGGCGGCGUAGUUAAGGCAUGCAAGUCGCACGAGAACGGCGGGCUUCGGCUCGUCUAGUAAAGUGGCGUAAGGGUGAGGAUCACGUGGACAAUCUGCCCGCAGCAGUGGGACAACCUCUCGAAAGGGGGGCUAAUACCACGUAAGACCACGGGGCGGCAUCGCCCAGGGGUCAAAGGUGGGGAUCCUUCGGGACCUGCCGGCUGCGGAGGAGUUCACGCCCUAUCAGCUAGUUGGCGGGGUAACGGCCCACCAAGGCUACGACGGGUAGCCGGCCUUAGAGGGUGACCGGCCACAUCGGGACUGAGACACUGCCCGGACUCCUACGGGAGGCUGCAGUUUGGAAUAUUUCGCAAUGGGCGAAAGCCUGACGAAGUGACGCCGCGUGAGGGAUGAAGGCCUUCGGGUCGUAAACCUCUUUUGUUCGUUAGGAAAUCCGCCGGGGAUAAUACCUCCGGCGGUUGACAAAGGCGGAUGAAUAAGCACCGGCUAACUCUGUGCCAGCAGCCGCGGUAAUACAGAGGGUGCGAACGUUGUUCGGUGUCAUUGGGCUUAAAGGGUGCGUAGGCGGCCUCGUAAGUUGGGUGUGAAAUCCCCCGGCUCAACCGGGGAAUUGCGUCCAAUACUGCGGGGCUCGAGGGCCAAAGGGGAGCGCGGAACUCCAGGUGUAGCGGUAAAAUGCGUAGAUAUCUGGGGGAACGCUGAUGGCGAAGGCAGCGCUCUGGGUGGCUCCUGACGCUGAGUGCACGAAAGCUGGGGGAGCAAACAGGAUUAGAUACCCUGGUAGUCCCAGCCCUAAACGAUGGGUGCUACGUAGGUGCCGGCCCAAACCGGUAUCUGCCGAAGCGAAGGCAUUAAGCACCCCGCCUGGGGAGUACGGUCGCAAGGCUGAAACUCAAAUGAAUUGACGG